RNAcentral lists this transfer RNA (72 nucleotides) under Camelus bactrianus (Bactrian camel). It matches the Rfam family "tRNA". Rfam says of the family: Transfer RNA (tRNA) molecules are approximately 80 nucleotides in length. RNAcentral also lists the same sequence under 2 other names. Lineage: Eukaryota; Metazoa; Chordata; Mammalia; Artiodactyla; Camelidae. The record is from Rfam by way of RNAcentral.
GAAGGUAUAGUUCAGUGAUAGAGCAGAUGCCCAGCAUGCCCAAGGUCCUGGGUUCGAUUCCCAGUAUCUCCA